GAUGAACGCUGGCGGCGUGCCUAAUACAUGCAAGUCGAGCGAACAGACGAGGAGCUUGCUCCUCUGACGUUAGCGGCGGACGGGUGAGUAACACGUGGAUAACCUACCUAUAAGACUGGGAUAACUUCGGGAAACCGGAGCUAAUACCAGAUAAUAUAUUGAACCGCAUGGUUCAAUAGUGAAAGACGGUUUUGCUGUCACUUAUAGAUGGAUCCGCGCCGCAUUAGCUAGUUGGUAAGGUAACGGCUUACCAAGGCAACGAUGCGUAGCCGACCGGAGAGGGUGAUCGGCCGCACUGGAACUGAGACACGGUCCAGACUCCUACGAGAGGCAGCAGUAGGGAAUCUUCCGCAAUGGGCGGAAGCCUGACGGAGCAACGCCGCGUGAGUGAUGAAGGUCUUCGGAUCGUAAAGCUCUGUUAUUAGGGAAGAACAAAUGUGGAAGUAACUGUGCACGUCUUGACGGUACCUAAUCAGAAAGCCACGGCUAACUACGUG
RNAcentral lists this ribosomal RNA (497 nucleotides) under uncultured bacterium. RNAcentral's name for it is "partial 16S ribosomal RNA". It matches the Rfam family "Bacterial small subunit ribosomal RNA", at positions 28 to 507 of the family's 1533-position model. The record is from RNAcentral.